AUGCCACAAAAGCUAAAAGGAGGGUUCUACAGGACGGCGAUUCAACCUGCAAUGUUGUAUGGCGAUGACUGUUCACCGACUAGAAGACGACAUGUCCAACAGUUAGGUGUAGCAGAGAUGCACAUGUUGAUAUGGAUAUGUGGCCACACAAGAAAGAACCGGGUCCAAAAUGAUGAUAUACGUGAUAGUGAUAGAGUUGGGGUAACGCUGAUUGAAAAGAAGCUUGUCCAACAUCGUCUGAGAUGGUUUGGGCAUAUACAACUGAGGCCUCCAGAAGCGCCAGUGCAUAGCGGAAGGAUAUAG
Molecule: ribosomal RNA, 303 nt
Filed under: Triticum aestivum (bread wheat)
Lineage: Eukaryota; Viridiplantae; Streptophyta; Magnoliopsida; Poales; Poaceae
Description: partial small subunit ribosomal RNA
Source: RNAcentral